Molecule: ribosomal RNA, 254 nt
Filed under: uncultured bacterium
Lineage: Bacteria
Description: partial 16S ribosomal RNA
Rfam family: Bacterial small subunit ribosomal RNA
Source: RNAcentral
UACGUAGGGUGCAAGCGUUAAUCGGAAUUACUGGGCGUAAAGCGUGCGCAGGCGGUGAUGUAAGACAGGUGUGAAAUCCCCGGCUUAACCUGGGAACUGCAUUUGUGACUGCAUAGCUAGAGUACGGUAGAGGGGGAUGGAAUUCCGCGUGUAGCAGUGAAAUGCGUAGAUAUCGGGAGAACACCGGUGGCGAAGGCGGCGAUCUGGGUAGAUACUGACGCUGAGGUGCGAAAAGCGUGGGGGAGCAAACAGGG